CCUACGGGUGGCUGCAGUGAGGAAUAUUGCGCAAUGGGGGAAACCCUGACGCAGCCACGCCGCGUGGAGGAUGACACUGCUCUGCAGCGUAAACUCCUUUUAUAUGGGAAGAAUGGCGCAGUUGCUGCGACGUGACGGUACCAUAUGAAUAAGCACCGGCUAACUCCGUGCCAGCAGCCGCGGUAAUACGGAGGGUGCAAGCGUUGUCCGGAAUCACUGGGUGUAAAGGGUGUGUAGGCGGAACGGUCAGUCGGAGGUGAAAGCCUGCAGCUUAA
This 275-nucleotide ribosomal RNA is filed under the name uncultured bacterium. RNAcentral's name for it is "partial 16S ribosomal RNA". It matches the Rfam family "Bacterial small subunit ribosomal RNA", at positions 338 to 612 of the family's 1533-position model. The record is from RNAcentral.